GACGACGCUGGCGGCGUGGAUUAGGCAUGCAAGUCGAACGGUAGGAUACCUUCGGGGUAUCUGAGAGUGGCGAACGGGUGAGUAACACGUAGGUGAUCUACCCUCAAGAUUGGGACAACCCAGGGAAACUUGGGCUAAUACCGGAUGAAAGCAGCAGUGAUGUUGUUUGAAAGGUGGCGUAAGCUGCCGUUUGGGGGAUGAGCCUGCGCUCUAUUAGUUAGUUGGCGGGGUAAAGGCCCACCAAGGCGAUGAUAGAUAGGCGGCCUUAACGGGUGGUCGCCCACACUGGGAUUGAGAUACGGCCCAGACUCCUACGGGAGGCAGCAGUCGAGAAUAGUCUACAAUGGCCGAAAGGCUGAUAGUGCGACGCCGCGUGAACGAAGAAGCCCUUCGGGGUGUAAAGUUCUUUUAUAUGUGAGCAGUGCUUUCUAUGUGAACAGCAUGGGGAGAGAGAUAUUAGCAUAUGAAUAAGCAACGGCUAACUCCGUG
RNAcentral lists this ribosomal RNA (489 nucleotides) under uncultured bacterium. Its description in RNAcentral is "bacterial SSU rRNA". It matches the Rfam family "Bacterial small subunit ribosomal RNA", at positions 33 to 507 of the family's 1533-position model. The record is from RNAcentral.